Molecule: transfer RNA, 51 nt
Filed under: Nothoaspis amazoniensis
Lineage: Eukaryota; Metazoa; Arthropoda; Arachnida; Ixodida; Argasidae
Description: tRNA-Ser
Source: RNAcentral
AAGACCACUAAUAGAGCUGCUAACUCUAUAAUAAUGUAACAUUUGGUCUUU